AGCAGCCGCGGUAAUUCCAGCUCCAAUAGCGUAUAUUAAAGUUGUUGCAGUUAAAAAGCUCGUAGUUGAAUUUCGGGAUCAAAUUGUCGGUCGUGCCUCGGUACGUACUGGUAUUAUUGGUCCCUCCCUUCUGACGAACCACGAUGUCAUUAAUUUGGUGUCAUGGGAAAUCAGGACUGUUACUUUGAAAAAUUAGAGUGUUUAAAGCAGGCUCGCGCUUGAAUACAUUAGCAUGGAAUAAUGAAAUAGGACGUUUGAUUCUAUUUUGUUGGUUUCUAGGAUCGACGUAAUGAUUAAUAGGGAUAGUUGGGGGCAUUAGUAUUCAAUUGUCAGAGGUGAAAUUCUUGGAUUUAUUGAAGACUAACUACUGCGAAAGCAUUUGCCAAGGAUGUUUUCAUUAAUCAAGAACGAAAGUUAGGGGAUCGAAGACGAUCAGAUACCGUCGUAGUCUUAACCAUAAACUAU
RNAcentral lists this ribosomal RNA (465 nucleotides) under uncultured Glomus. RNAcentral describes it as "SSU rRNA". It matches the Rfam family "Eukaryotic small subunit ribosomal RNA", at positions 569 to 1040 of the family's 1831-position model. Lineage: Eukaryota; Fungi; Glomeromycota; Glomeromycetes; Glomerales; Glomeraceae. The record is from RNAcentral.